UGUACAUAUAAAAUCAAAUCUGUACAUGUAUAUUCAUACUGGUUUUGAAAAUCAAUAAAAUGUAUGGUUCUGAUACACACAUAGAUAUAUACAUAUAGAAUUAACUAGCACAUUUUAAAUUUUGUAUAAAGUCUAUUCUUUGAUUUCAAGACAUAAAAAUUUAAAAACUUAAAAAUAGAAAAAGAACCUAAAUAAUUUUUGAUUGUCUUUAUAGAGUUUUAGAGGGGCAAGGACUUUUUUUAUAGAUUUUUUUAGAUGGGCAAGGACUUUUUUUCAGAAUUUAAAAGGAUGGGCAAUAACUUUUUUAAUGAAACAAUAUUAA
Molecule: long non-coding RNA, 322 nt
Filed under: Mytilus galloprovincialis (Mediterranean mussel)
Lineage: Eukaryota; Metazoa; Mollusca; Bivalvia; Mytilida; Mytilidae
Source: RNAcentral